This 2321-nucleotide ribosomal RNA is filed under the name Listeria monocytogenes. RNAcentral describes it as "partial 23S ribosomal RNA". It matches the Rfam family "Bacterial large subunit ribosomal RNA", at positions 516 to 2834 of the family's 2925-position model. The record is from RNAcentral. Lineage: Bacteria; Bacillati; Bacillota; Bacilli; Caryophanales; Listeriaceae.
GAAAAGCACCCCGGAAGGGGAGUGAAACAGUUCCUGAAACCGUGUGCCUACAAGUAGUUAGAGCCCGUUAAUGGGUGAUAGCGUGCCUUUUGUAGAAUGAACCGGCGAGUUACGAUUUGUUGCAAGGUUAAGCGGAAAAAGCGGAGCCGUAGCGAAAGCGAGUCUGAAUAGGGCGCAUAAGUAACAGGUCGUAGACCCGAAACCAGGUGAUCUACCCAUGUCCAGGAUGAAGGUAAGGUAAUACUUACUGGAGGUCCGAACCCACGCACGUUGAAAAGUGCGGGGAUGAGGUGUGGGUAGCGGAGAAAUUCCAAUCGAACUUGGAGAUAGCUGGUUCUCUCCGAAAUAGCUUUAGGGCUAGCCUCGAGGUAAAGAGUCAUGGAGGUAGAGCACUGUUUGGACUAGGGGCCCUUCUCGGGUUACCGAAUUCAGAUAAACUCCGAAUGCCAUGUACUUAUACUCGGGAGUCAGACUGCGAGUGAUAAGAUCCGUAGUCGAAAGGGAAACAGCCCAGACCACCAGUUAAGGUCCCCAAAUAUAUGUUAAGUGGAAAAGGAUGUGGGGUUGCUUAGACAACCAGGAUGUUGGCUUAGAAGCAGCCACCAUUGAAAGAGUGCGUAAUAGCUCACUGGUCGAGUGACCCCGCGCCGAAAAUGUACCGGGGCUAAACAUAUUACCGAAACUGUGGAUGAACCUCUUUAGAGGUUCGUGGUAGGAGAGCGUUCUAAGGGCGGUGAAGUCAGACCGGAAGGACUGGUGGAGCGCUUAGAAGUGAGAAUGCCGGUAUGAGUAGCGAAAGAAGGGUGAGAAUCCCUUCCACCGAAUAUCUAAGGUUUCCUGAGGAAGGCUCGUCCGCUCAGGGUUAGUCGGGACCUAAGCCGAGGCCGAUAGGCGUAGGCGAUGGACAACAGGUAGAGAUUCCUGUACCAGUGCUAAUUGUUUAACCGAUGGGGUGACACAGAAGGAUAGGGAAUCGCACGAAUGGAAAUGUGCGUCCAAGCAGUGAGUGUGAGAAGUAGGCAAAUCCGCUUCUCGCGAAGCAUGAGCUGUGAUGGGGAAGGAAAUUAAGUACGGAAGUUCCUGAUUUCACGCUGUCAAGAAAAGCCUCUAGGAAGAGUAGUACUGCCCGUACCGCAAACCGACACAGGUAGAUGAGGAGAGAAUCCUAAGGUGAGCGAGAGAACUCUCGUUAAGGAACUCGGCAAAAUGACCCCGUAACUUCGGGAGAAGGGGUGCUCUAUUAGGGUGCAAGCCCGAGAGAGCCGCAGUGAAUAGGCCCAGGCGACUGUUUAGCAAAAACACAGGUCUCUGCAAAACCGUAAGGUGACGUAUAGGGGCUGACGCCUGCCCGGUGCUGGAAGGUUAAGAGGAGUGCUUAGCUUCGGCGAAGGUACGAAUUGAAGCCCCAGUAAACGGCGGCCGUAACUAUAACGGUCCUAAGGUAGCGAAAUUCCUUGUCGGGUAAGUUCCGACCCGCACGAAAGGCGCAACGAUCUGGGCACUGUCUCAACGAGAGACUCGGUGAAAUUAUAGUACCUGUGAAGAUGCAGGUUACCCGCGACAGGACGGAAAGACCCCGUGGAGCUUUACUGCAACCUGAUAUGGAAUGUUUGUACCGCUUGUACAGGAUAGGUAGGAGCCGAAGAGACGUGUGCGCUAGCAUACGAGGAGGCAAUGGUGGGAUACUACCCUGGCUGUAUGACCAUUCUAACCCGCCACGCUUAGCGCGUGGGGAGACAGUGUCAGGUGGGCAGUUUGACUGGGGCGGUCGCCUCCUAAAGAGUAACGGAGGCGCCCAAAGGUUCCCUCAGAAUGGAUGGAAAUCAUUCGCAGAGUGUAAAGGCACAAGGGAGCUUGACUGCGAGACUGACAAGUCGAGCAGGGACGAAAGUCGGGCUUAGUGAUCCGGUGGUUCCGCAUGGAAGGGCCAUCGCUCAACGGAUAAAAGCUACCCCGGGGAUAACAGGCUUAUCUCCCCCAAGAGUCCACAUCGACGGGGAGGUUUGGCACCUCGAUGUCGGCUCGUCGCAUCCUGGGGCUGUAGUCGGUCCCAAGGGUUGGGCUGUUCGCCCAUUAAAGCGGCACGCGAGCUGGGUUCAGAACGUCGUGAGACAGUUCGGUCCCUAUCCGUCGCGGGCGCAGGAAAUUUGAGAGGAGCUGUCCUUAGUACGAGAGGACCGGGAUGGACACACCGCUGGUGUACCAGUUGUUCCGCCAGGAGCAUCGCUGGGUAGCUAUGUGUGGCAGGGAUAAACGCUGAAAGCAUCUAAGCGUGAAGCCCCCCUCAAGAUGAGAUUUCCCAUUUCUUCGGAAAGUAAGAU